UAUGUCCAAGAGUAUAUAUAUAUGAGAAUCGAUUCAAAAUGGAACUGGAAUAAUCCCCAUUCAGAGUUCUACACUAAAAGUUUGAAAGAGCAUCUUGGGCAAUAUUUCGAGCAGCUUAAUGUGCCACAAGAGCUUUCGGUGGAGGACAAGCUCGCUAAAUUGUUGGAAUUAACUGACUUAUACAUUGAAAUAACAAAUGAAGGAUUUCAAAUUCAAGCAGUAAACCGUGGGAAAAGCUAUGAUGAUCAAGAGGUUGGUGCAGGAACUGAGGAGCCAUCUGUCUGUUAUUCACGUCCAAAGGAGGAAACAGCCCAUGAUGACCUUGAAAAUUCCAUAGAAUCUGCUCCUUCAAAAGUCUGUGUGCCACUCAUGCACUAUCCCGAGACUCCAAGGCGACCCGCUAAGCAGCAAGAAUGCAUGAAUACUCUGACAAAUCUAAAUAUAGGACAGCUGCUUACUGAUUAGAAAAUUUUAGCGGCGGUAACGGACAGUGCACCUGCACAGCCCAUCAAAUUCAAAGAAAUGCCAGAUGAGUCCUGCAAACAGGCAAAGAUCCACAAGGAAACAAAGAAAAAGCUUAAUGGCAACCUAAUUCUUCGUCAAGAAAUUCGGCCAAUGCAGAAAUUGUGGGUGUCAAAUACAAGGUUUAAGUCAGUUCGACGAAGACGUAAACAUUGCUGGAAGGGAUCCUAUUUUAUUACAACAUUUCAUUCAUAUAGAAGGGCUAAUAUGAAGGAUUCAACCACUUCCCUGAAACACAUAAUUGACAAACAUCAUCUCAUUCCGUACCUACUGUUGUUGUAUGAUGCUAUCAAGGAGUGGUUGAUUAUAAGAGAACAAGUGACGUGAUUAUCAAUUCAUUCCUCUACGUCUAGCUAUAGACAUUAACUACAGCGCUUAUUGGGAGGCAACCCAAUUUUUCUAAACUCUUUUCUUUUUAUUUUCGUUCAUUUUAUUUUCUUCCUUCUAGUCUUUAUCACAAAAAAAAAACAAAAACAAAACAAAAAAAUCAGAAAAUUGAAAAACACAAAAACAGCAAUUGUUUUUCGUUAAUCAGUAUUUUAUUUUGGGAUUUACUCGAAUUAGAUUUUUAAUCUGUGUUUUUUUUUUUUUUUUUUUUUUUUUGCAGGUUGCAUUUGGACUCGAAGGGCCCUAAAUAUCCAUUAAGCGCGCAAAAUUCAACUGAAUCAUGCUUUUAGCAGCAUUUGGGGUCAUCACUGGUGGCGAAUAAAAUUGUUACCUCUGCAUGACUCGGGUCCGCGAUGUCCUCAAUGUUUGUUUUGUCCUUGCUAUUGUUCAGCUCCAGCUCGAUAACCUUUGCACCCUAACGAGAUGUACAGAUUUUACACAUGCGGUGAAGUUAUAUGAGACAUGCAGUAAGAGAUCAGUUAUGGAGGGUUGUGAGUUUACCUUUUUGUGUUUCGGAUCUGAGCUAAUCGAGUGUUGUUUUUCCUUUUGCCCAUUAUGACUUCUGCGGAUCCGACAUCCCUUACACAAAUCAGCCAAGCCUCUGUUAGUUUGUUUCUUUUCUGUAUCAAAAAAAAAAAUCAUCAGAUGGAUUACACCAGGUUAGGGGUGAUGUUUACCUCUGUGGGACGAUUGGAGCUGAAAUGUGUCUACAUUUCCAUGACCGCAAUUGUUUUGGGUUGUGCAGAAAAGAGAGAGGGCUGAAAAAUAAAAUGGAAGGUUUGCAGGAAGAGGGAUGCCGAAUUGAGAAGGAUUAAAAGCCUUUUUAGCUUUUCUAGAGAGAGCAGAGAUAUGGGGUCUGAGAGAAAAGAGAGAGGGAGUAGAGAUGAAAUGGGGAAAUGAGAGAAGUCAAUAGAGAGAUUAAAAACCUUUUCAGAUUUUCUAGGGAGAGGACGAUGGGCAUAUGGGGUUGAUAUUAACCCUUGAUUCGAAUCCUAUGGAGCUUCUCUUUCCGAUGCAUGACAACUGGGCGCAUCCUCCUCUUUUAGGCUCCCUAGGACACGGUUUGAAGAGAGGGGAGAGAGCCGUUUGGGCUCUGUGUUUGAUAUUGACAGAGACAUCAACCUGACGCCAGCUGCACGCCACUUUGACACGGCAUGCCAAUUGCAUGCCUUUCAAAGAAGCAUCCAAUGUUUUCCUGUGUGUGUGCACGGGUUUUGGUGCACAUGUGCUGUAAACAUGGACUUGGUGUGCGAGUUGGGAUCAUGCCCCAAGGCUAUUCAAUCACUCACAUCACAGCCAUGUGGAAUCAUUUUUUCCAAGCACACAGUUUAUCAUUAGUCACGGCUCCAUGACCUUCCAAAUAAAACACCAGGUGCAUGUUUUCCUUUCUUUACUUUUGUUUCUUUUGUUACUUUUCCUUGGCUUUUCUUUAGUUUUUAUUAUUUUAUUAUAUUUUAUAUUUUUUUUAAUUUUUUAAUUUUUUUUUUUUUAGUUGUUAUGUUUAGUCAGGUUUCGUUUUUGUUGUUUUUUUUAUUUGCAUUUAUUUUCCACACCUUGAGGACAAAGUGUGAAAUAAGUUUGGGGGUGGGAGAGUAAAUUUUAGUUUUUAUUUUUUUAUUGUGUCAGUUUAAAAAUUUUCAUUCUUGUAAGUUAAUAUACAUAUAUUAUUUUAAACGUUAGAACAAAUGGACAUGGUGAAGAUUAAUCCCACAUUAGAGUCUUUACUAUUUAUCGUUACUUAGACACUAAUUCAUGAAUUAUACUUUGAACUUUGCACAUCACACCAACAUGGUUUGUGGGGAGUGAGAUUGAAACGCUUGCUUUUAGUCUAAGUUUAUUUUUAAUUUUUAAUUUUUGUUUUAAGUAAAGUCAGUUAUUAGUGUGAAAAAAAAAGUAAUAAUUGUCUCACCCGAGGUUUUGCCUAGUAACCGGGCCAGUCCUGCCUAAUCAGCAGUGAUUCUCGCGUCAAACGGUAGAGUUUUGGCAUGGGGCAGGGUGGUUAGUUGGUUUCGUAGCCUUUUCAGCUUGAGUUAAUAAGUCUUUAGGGGUGUUCUACACCUAGUGCCCUAAAGCCCUAGUGGUUUGGGAGUCAUUGACCUAAAGCUCGCUACAUGGGUUGGAUCGAAAGCUUAAGUAAACCGACAUUGCACGACCACUACUGUUACUGAAAAAAAAAAAAUAUGUUAUAUGAAAAAAAAAAAAAGGGAAAAAUAUUGGAAAAGAAAAAGAAAAAUAUAUAUGUGAAGUUAGUAUGUGUGGAGUAUGAAUAAAGAUGACAAGAGGUAAGAGUUUUAGUUGAGUCUCUUUAACUAUGUUGGUUCACUUUAUACCAGAGGAAGUUUGUGAAUUCUUUUCUAAUUGAUUCUAAAUGGCUUAGACUCUGUGGUGGGAUUGGUUGGAACUUUUGAAAAAAUGUUCUAGUUUUAAAAUUUACUAUGGAUUGCAACUUUGAAGGUGAAAAUUUUUGUCAGUUAAUUUUAGCUAGUUGUUUAGUUUGUUAAGUUUUUAUUUUUGUUUGAGUCUUAUUUUGCUUGAGGACAAGCAAAAAGCUAAGUUUGGGGGUAUUUGAUGAGUAGAUUUUAUAUUAUAUAUUUUACCCUAAUCUUAGUAUAUUUUGGUUAAUAUAUUGGAAGAAUUUUGAUACUUUGAAUUGUAUUUUCAAUAUAGGACUUUCGACUUCCUCUGGAGAAAAACAGGACCAAAUGGACGAAUUUUGGAGUAAUUCUAGUUGGAGGACGUUCGUGAGUCACUUAGCUUAAUCGUAUCAAAAUUUGGGAUUUUUCCACCAAGCGGUUAUUUUCUGGCGAUGAAAUAAAGAAGCAGUGCGCAGUGCUGGAAAAUGACGUUUUUGGGCUUAAAUUGCGUUUUUGGAGCCCAAGAUGACCUCGGAUGGGUUCGUGGCCUUCUGGAGAAGUGUUCAGAAUAUUCCAAACAUUAAAUCCAGCUAUAUUGGGCCAGUUUUGGAGCAGCUUAUGGGCCAAAACGGGGCUGUUCAAAUUUUAGACGAAUUUUACUAUUUUUAUUUAGGUUUUUUUUAUUAAUUUUAGUUUGCUAGGGUUUGUGUGGUGGCUUAGCAAAUAUAUUGCUUGGCCGUCUACAGUUUUAGAGUACGCUUUAUUUUAUGCAAUAUUGGAGACAGAGAGAAGUGCUAGGGUUUUGAAGAUUUUCUACUUGAAGGUGUUUUCAAUCCUUUUCUUAAUAGAUAUUUCUAUGAUUUCAAUUAUGAAUAUGCGGAACUAAUUUCUUUUGCUAGGGCGAAGCCUUGAGCCUUAGCAUGAAUAUGUGAUUUUUAUUUAAUUACUUAUGAUCGAUUGCAUGCGUACUUUGAAUUGUUAAUCACCAGGAUAAAAACUAUCUAAUUGUCGUAAUGCUUGAUCACCAUUAGGAUCUUUAGAAAAGUAAUUUGAUGCAAUUUUGGUCGGAAGGUUCCCUGAAAUUGACCCUGAAAUUGACGCUGGCUCACUGACCUUUUCAAUAGGAUUUUGAAAACGAAGAAGAUGCCAAAUAAGUGGCGAAAGAGCACUUUGGUGCCUAUCUACAAGAAUAAGGGCGACGUACAAAAUUGCAUGAACUAUAAGGGUAUUAAGCUAAUGAGUCAUACAAUGAAGCUCUGGGAGAGAGUCAUUGAGCAUAGAUUGAGGCAAGAGACACGGGUUUCGGACAACCAAUUCGGGUUCAUGCCAGGGCGCUCAACCAUGGAGGCAAUCUAUCUCUUACGAAGAUUGAUGGAAAGAUAUAGAGAUGGGAAAAAGGAUUUACACAUGGUCUUUAUAGAUUUGAAAAAAGCGUAUGAUAGGGUCCCAAGAGACAUUCUUUGGAGGAUUUUAGAGAAGAAAGGAGUACGAGUAGCAUAUAUCCAAGCUAUAAAGGAUAUGUAUGAAGGAGCAAAGACUGCCGUAAGAACUCAUGAAGGACAAACCGAAAGCUUCCCUAUAACUAUAGGAUUACAUCAAGGCUCAUCCUUAAGUCCUUACCUUUUUGCGUUGGUAAUGGAUGAGUUAACAAGACAUAUUCAAGAUGAUAUUCCUUGGUGUAUGCUUUUCGCAGACGAUAUAGUGUUGAUAGAUGAAACUCAGGAAGGGGUAAAUGCGAAGCUUAACCUUUGGAGAGAAGUGUUGGAAUCUAAAGGUCUUCGCCUAAGCCGAUCAAAGACAGAAUAUAUGGAGUGCAAGUUCAGUGCAAAUGGAGGCCAAAAUGAGUUAGGGGUGAGGAUCGGAGAUCAGGAAAUACCACAAAGCGAUUGUUUUUGCUACUUAGGAUCUAUCUUGCAAAAGAACGGAGAAUUAGAUGGAGAUCUCAACCAUAAAAUACAAGCUGGAUGGAUGAAGUGGAAGAGUGCAUCCGGCGUGUUAUGUGACCACCGUAUGCCACUGAAGCUCAAGGGAAAAUUCUAUAGGACGGCAAUAAGGCCGGCGAUGCUGUAUGGCACAGAAUGUUGGGCGGUGAAGCAUCAACACGUACACAAAAUGGGUGUAGCGGAGAUGAGGAUGCUUCAUUGGAUGUGUGGGCACACGAGAAAGGAUAAGAUUAGGAAUGAGGAUUUUCGAGGUAAAGUAGGAGUAGCCGAAAUUGUAGGAAAAUUGAGAGAAAAUCGGUUACGGUGGUUUGGACAUGUGCAAAGAAGGCCUACUGACGCUCCGGUUAGAAGAUGCGACUACGGGACAGAGGUUCAGGGCCGAAGGGGUAGAGGAAGACCUAGGAAAACUUUGAAAGAGACUCUAAGAAAAGACUUAGAGUAUUUGGAUCUAACGGAGGACAUGACACAGGACCGAGCACAAUGGCGUUCUAAGAUUCAUAUAGUCGACCCCACUCAGUGAAGAAGGCUUUGGUGUAUUUAACACAAUACGUUGAAAUGAAGCAAAGCUUAUUUAUUGAUAUCUCCGAUAAGUUACAAAUAUGUACAUAUACAUGAGUCAAAAUAAAUAAACAAGAGGGAGCCUUCACAAAGUUUGCUUAGGAGAAGUCUCAGCAGUCGGUAGAGCCCCAGAAAGAGAAGGCACCAGAGGGGUAUCAUUCGGAGCCUCAGUACUGGACAAAACCUUAGAAGGAGGAGGCAUCGGAGGUUGAUCAUUCGGAGCUUCAUUACGCGGUACAGCCCCAGAAGACGAAGGCAAUAAAUGCCUUUAGAACAAACCCACAAACCGCUAAUGAUCAAGUAAAACCUGACCAUCAUAUUCCUUCAUCUGGUCAAGCUUCCUCUUCAUGUUUGUAGCAUAGUCAUGUGCGAGCCGGUGCAACUGUUUAUUCUCAUGCUUGAGUCCUCUAAUCUCCUGUUUGAGACUCAUCACUUCAGCCGCCAAUGAUUCAACAUGGCGGGUUCGAGCAAAUAGGCAUUGGGCCAUAUUAGACACAGAACCUGCAUACUAAACACUUAGAGCCAGAGAAUCCUUAACAGCAAACUCAUCAGACCGUUUGGAAAGUAGUCUGUUAUCUUUGGGAGUGAGAAGGUUCCUGGCCACCACCGCAGCAGUCAUAUCAUUUUUCAUCACGGAAUCCCCAACGGUAAAAGGACCAGUAGGGGAUAAGAAGGAUGGGCGCCAUAUGUUGUCUGGAGAAGGCGUGGCUACCUCUUCAACAAGGUUCAAGUCAAAACGACGGUCGGAGGGGCCAGACAUUUUCAAAGGUGUUGAAGAGAGAAAAGGUCGGACAAAUCAAGAUCUUAAAAGUGCAAGAAGGGAGCUUCUACUGGUGAAGAUUCAAGUGUGCUUUGGAACUUAAUGCCAGCCUCUAUAAAAAUCUGCACUCGACGGAGCUUCAGAAAUCGAAGAGGCGUUUGCUUUCUCAAAAGCUGGGCUGCUCAGAGACCACGAGGGCCGAUCUCAAAAAUUGAAGAGGCGUUUGCUUUCUCAAAAGCUGGGCUGCUCAAAGACCAUGAAGGUCGAUCUCAGAAAUCGAAGAGGCGCUUGCUUUCUUAAAAGCUAGGCUGCUCAGAGACCACGAGGACCGAUCUCAGAAAUCGAAGAGGCACCUGUUUUUCUCAGCCUUGUCAGCACCUGUCACAUGCACACUCGGCUUUGCUGAAAUUACGGGCAUUCUGUUGAAGAUUUCUGGUGAAGUAGAAAGCACGUGAAUCUUACUGUUCAAUCAUCCACUUUCCACACGCACUAUCAGCUCAUGGGUACCACAGAUAACGUUGCCAAAGAUCUCUGACAAAGUUUAGACACGUGAAGCUUGCAGCUCCCACUACAUCGCUAUGACCAAGAAGGGUAAAAGAAUAGCAAAGAAACAGCACUAACAAAGUUUAGACACAUAAAUUUUGGAGGUCUAGCUACCAUAUUAUUACCCACAAGGGUAAAGGAACAGCACCACUGCUGGAUAAUUGGAAAGUCCCUAUGUGUCAACCUCUGUGCUCCGUGGCAAGGUAGACUAGCAAACAUGCCCAACCUUUACUCACAUUCGAGAAAACACUCCCAACAAGAUUGCUUGCUCCAAAAUUGAAAAGGCACCAUCCUCCGAAUCUUGAGAGCCAGACUCCCAACAUGAUUACUUUCUCAAAAAAUCGAAGAGACACCGCUCUCCGAAUCUCGAGAGCCAGACUCCCAGCAAGAUUGCUCUCUAAAAAAUCGAAGAGGCACCGUUCUCCGAAUCUCGAUAGCCAGAUCCCCGACAUGAUUGCUUGUUCAAAAACUGAAGAGGCACCGCUUUCUCAACUUCGAGAGUCAGAUCUCCUUGGAUAAAGCUUGUCUGUAAUCUUCACACGCAACAUCAGCUUUCCAGAUACCACAGACCACUUUUUCAAAGUGCUCUGACACACGUGAAGCUGGCAGCUCCCACUACCGUGCUAUGACCAAGCAGGGUAAAUGAAUAACAUUACUACUUGUUGUUAGGGAAACUCCUAUAUAUGUCGACCUCUAUCCUCAACGGACAGGCAGACCUGCAAAAAUGCUCAACCCUUCCUCAUAUCUGAGAGGGCACUCCCAACGAAGCCUCUCAAAAUACUCAGCUUUCUUUCCCCUCGAUAAUCACUCUGCAAACAAGCUACACCAGAGCAAGAAUAUCUCAUAUCAUCAGGGUUAAAAGCAAGAGUAUCCCAUAUCAUGCUGUUUCCCUGUCUUUUCCUUUGGCCUUGUUCUUACCUGCAAGACAAGGAGAAAGAGAGCAAUCAGUCAGCACUUGGAAUCAAGCUUCUAGUCAGGAACUGACUGCCUGGAACCCCUUACCUGAAUACUUACCUGGCAUUGCCCUCGAGUACUCAUCUUCAACAUCUUAUGCUUCCAGAGAAGAUACCACAUCUGCCUGAGGAACAGAUAGGGAAAGUGAGAAGGAUACAAGGAAGCAUGUGGAGACAAGCGUAACAGAACACGUGCCGAUACAUCCACUACUUUGUCAACAACAAAAGUAUCCCAUAUCAACAGGGUCGAACGUACUCUAGAUUUGAUGGACUUGUUUUGACCCUCAAAUUCUUCAGUCGACCUUAUAUUCUGGAGGAAACCAGAAAAUCCUCCAGCCCAGUUCAAGAAUAAGCCUGUGGAAAGUUACUUAUUCAAAAGAAAAAGUAUCUCAUAUCAUCUAUUCUCCUUUUCUUCUUUUUAUCCUUCAUGCUGCUUGCAAGAUAGGGAGAAUGAGAACAAUCAGCCGAAACUCGAAAUCAAACUUCUGAUCUGGAACUGAUUGCUUGGAGCUUUGAUUGCUUACCUUGUCUGUCGUCUCUUUCAGCAGAUCCCCUAGCUCGGUGACUUGAGGGACUCCUACUACAUGGUUUGUAUCACGCUUGACCAAGCCUGAAACUACAAGUAAGCUUCAAGUGAAAUUGAUACAUUACCUUGUGCAUCUCUACCAGUUAAAGAUACCACCCCUGGAUGGAGGAAGAGUACUUCCAGAGAAGAUGCCACAUCUACCUAUGAGACAGAUAAGGCAAGUGAAGACGAGAGCUUGAACCUAUGUCAUUUGUACUAAAUCAUUCACUUGUACUCACUAAAGGAGAGCUUGAACCUAUGUACUUGUGUAAACCUUUCACAAUUAAUGAGAACUCCUCUACUUCGUGGACGUAGCCAAUCUGGGUGAACCACGUACAUCUUGUGUUUGCUUUCCUGUCUCUAUCCAUUUACAUACUUAUCCACACUAAUGACCAGAGCAAUCUAGCGAAGAUCACAAACUUAAUACUUUCUGUUGUACCAAAGUCCUCACUGAUUUUGUGCAUCAACAAUCCUUAAGUCCUUACCUUUUUAUGUUGGUAAUGGAUGAGUUAACAGGACAUAUUUAAGAUGAUAUUCCUUGGUGUAUGCUUUUCGCAAACGAUACAGUGUUGAUAGAUGAAACUCAGGAGGGGUAAAUGCGAAGCUUAACCUUUGGAGAAAAGUGUUGGAAUCUAAAGGUCUUUGCCUAAACCGAUCAAAGACAGAAUAUAUAGAGUGCAAGUUCAGUGCAAAUGGAGGCCAAAAUGAGUUAGGGGUGAGGAUCGGAGAUCAGGAAAUACCAAAGAGCGACCGUUUUUUCUACCUAGGAUCUAUCUUGCAAAAGAACGGAGAAUUAGAUGGAGAUCUCAACCAUAGAAUACAAGCUGGAUGGAUGAAGUGGAAGAGUGCAUCCGGCAUGUUGUGUGACCGUCGUAGGCCACUAAAGCUCAAGGGAAAAUUUUAUAGGAUGGUAAUAAGGCCGGUGAUGCUGUAUGGCACAGAAUGUUGGGCGGUGAAGCAUCAACACGUACACAAAAUGGGUUUGGACAUGUGCAAAGAAGGCCUACUGACGCUCCGGUUCGAAGAUGUGACUACGGGAUAGAGGUUCAGGGCUGAAGGGGUAGAGGAAGACCUAGGGAAACUUUGGAAGAGACCCUAAGAAAAGACUUAGAGUACUUGGAUCUAACAGAGGACAUGACACAAAACCGAGCGCAAUGGCGUUCUAGGAUUCAUAUAGCCGACCCCACUUAGUGGGAAAAGGCUUUGUUGUUGUUGUUGUUGUAUGAAUUUAGAAAACCAUUAAUUACCGAAUUCUUGUAUAGAUUGCCAUUCUAACCAGUAACCACUACUACUGACUACCGACAAGGAAAAUAAAAAUCUGAUCGAGAAACUAAACAAGGGAAACGAUUGAGGACCCUAAAUUCAAUUUGCUUUCGUUGCAGUGGCUUUCGAAAAGAAUCAGUGAGAAACAUAUGCAGUUCAUCAAGCACUGAUAGAGACUCUCACACCCAUUUCAUCAAACAGUUAGCAGGCGAGUUUUCACAUGCAUUAUCAAUUGAUCAUCACUUUUUUUCCACAACUUUUUACCAAACUGCAACAAAAGCAACUUGGUUUUCACCAAGUAAACACAUUAAAAAAUGAAAAUAAAAAUCGAGAACCCAAUUGGUCUCCAUCCAUUUCGGAAUCAUGGAAAUUACUUAAUGAGAGAAAAAAAAGACCAAUAAAAAUCCAUGCAUAGUUCAGAUUAAUACAACGCAAAAUCAGAUACCUGUAUGGGUUUUAAAGGAGAUUCUGCUUCAAUGGAAGAGGAGGAAUUCAUUCACUGGGAAAUGGGAUUACACUCAGAGGGCAGUGUGGUUAAUGGUUACCGGCAUGGUGAUUGUGGGCGUGGGGCGGAGGUAUGUGAAGAAACUAGGGUGGGUUGAAAAACGAAAACCGAAAAAAACCAAGCUGAAAACCAAACGAAGACCGAAAAAACCAAAUUGGAAAAAAAAAACCGAAUCGAAUUUGGUUGGUUCAAAAACCGAACUGCACCGAUAUAUGAAAAUCAUGUAUAAAUCCUCAAAACCUCGUGGCGUGAGAAUUCAGACCCCUUCCGUCCAGGUUGGGGAUAGUUGCUUCAAGCCAACUUGACUGUGGAUUUUGUGUUCCUAUAAUUGUACGAGUACGUUAUCUAUAGGUAUUCUAAUAUUCAAUGCUUUAUAAAAUUUCUAAAGUUUACAAACCCUAGCCUUCACUCCCAUUUUGAAACACUCUCUCCGUCUCCUCAUCUGCUUUCUUCCUCCCUGCUUCCUCAAUCUCUCUCUCUCCUUCCUCUCUUCCUCCAAAUCACUCUCUCUCCAGUCUUUUCCUAUCCUCCUUGCGGAUUCCUUCUUCCAAACCAUGAUUUUCCCUCACCCCUUUCGAAUCGAAACUGUCACAACUCGUCCUAAAUUAUUACUAUCGACGAUGUAAAAUGACGGUUUUAUCCUUGGACGUUAAAAUUGUAGUGUGUGUGUUAUGCUUUGAGACUUAGAUGAUAUUUUCUUUGGUUGGUUGGUGACCCACGUGGAACACACAUACACACUUUCACUCUCUCUCUCUCUCUCCCCUUCCCGUGCACUCUCUCUCUCCUCCCUCUCGAUUUUCUCCUAUUUCCGUCAACCUUGUACGAAUGAACGUCAAGUUCACCAUUCACGCACGGAUCAACGUUAAAAAGGUAAAGUUCUUGUUCCCUACAAGCUCAUGAGUCCAUUCGUACCAUUAUUAGGACCUGAAAACCUCAAAAACCCUGAGAACUCUAACCUCCGAUUUGGUGCAUUGUUCAUGCACACGUAAAUGUGAAGGUUUCAGUUGAUUUUAAGCUCACAUGGAGCUUUAGAAGGCCCUCACGAAGCUCGGAGAAGAAAAACCAAGCGAUUUGGACGUUGGGAUCGUCAGUUUCAAGUUAGGCUGAUUUUCCUCAAAUUUCUCCGGCGAGAUUCCGUGAUCUUUGGGGAUUUAAACAGGUAAGGAAAUGUUCUACAAGUUAAGAGCUUCAAUUUGGUACUGGUUUCAUGAAUUUUGGUUGAAAAACGAGUGAGAUAUCAAGGUUUAAAGAAAUUCCCAGUUUCCGGCGCCGGCAACGGUUGCCGGAGUUCUGAGGUAAGGGAUGACGGAAUAUUCCUAACGGAGUUGGUUAGUUUUAACGGUUUCCGUUACUUUUAACGAAAUAUUCUUAACGGCGUCACUGUUACCGUCAGUGUGCCUGGCACGUGCCCACGCGUGGGCGGCAUGUCUGGCCGUGCCUUGGUCGGCGCGUGGGUGGUCAGAAAUUUUUUCUAAAAAAUAUGGGGAUGUUCGUGAGGUUGUGUAGAUCACGUUGGUAUAUUCAAACACCCCAUUUGAGCAUUGUAUGAGAAGUUAUUAGCUAGCUUUGUUUAUGUGCCUUAAAUAACAUUUUUAUAGUUAUUUCGCAUAUAGGGGAGGCUUAUCCCGAGGACGAACGCAGUCAAGGGUGACUCGAGGGCUACGACCCUUCGACAUACCAGUGAGUGGGCUUUUGGUUUUCAGUAUAUAUUUAUAUACUUGAUAUUUUCCCAGAAAAUGCGUUUAAAUGAAAGUAUGCUUUGAAUGCCAUGCAUCUAAAUUUAUAUUUCGUAUAUGAAUUAGUAUAUGAUACAUAUAUAUUAUUAUGGUGAUGUGGACGCUCAGGUAAGCCCAGGUGAGUUAUGAAUUGUGAAUGUGAUUAAGAUGAUGAUUAAUUGAGAAGCUUUGAGCUCAUAAACCUGCACCUAGGGUGUUAAUGAUUAGUCAGAGAUAUGACAUAGGUCUGUUAUUAUAAUGUCACCUCCUGCACCAUAUGCUCACAUUAGAUCUAAAUUAGGUGCACAAUCUUGUCGUACAGACCAUCAUAGGUGGUUCUGACUCGUAGGUGACUAGCAAUUUAUCGCUCAGCUAUUAUGAGAGAAUAGUAUCGAGCAUAAUUAUAUUACACCCAGUCUUUGUUGGAAAUAUGCCCUGAAAGUCAAUCUUUGGAAGAAACCUUUCAGGACAAUGAAUGGAUGUAUAGAUGAUUCUUGUACAUCAAAUGGCAUAGAUACUAAUUAGGACUAUCUUAACACACGAUAUAUGUCCUAAAUAGUGAAUCCAUGGACAAUGGAUUGAUGGAAGAAGUAAUCUAAUGAUGUUAGACUACAGAGACCUUCUUCACAUAACCACCAUGUCCAAAAGGUUCCUGGUCAUAGGAUUGUCGGAGGGAUACUGACAAUGCAUAGACUGGUACAUACUAUGUCCGCUUCAAUUGGAAGGAUGGAAAGUCUCGUCCCAUUCAUGUAGUGACACUAAGACAGGUAUGUAGGUGCUCAUUAAGGGAAUGAGUUCACUGAACACAAUCAAACGAGAGUACUUACAUAGAGGUCUACUCACAUGUCAAGCAAGUAACUCUAAUGGUUGGAAUAAUGUAAGUAGUCCUUUGACCUGAGGCAUCAUAGUUGUCUUGUGGUUAGGUACUUGAUCUUUGAUUAUGUAAAAGUCACUCCAUCCGCGGGUGUCCACGGCAUAGUUGGGGUUAAGCCACUUAGUCAUGGAGGCAAGUGAAUGCGCAACAAGGAAUCUCUAAUCCUCGUUAAGAAAAGGAUGAAUACUCUAAGAUAUGAUUCAGGAAUCUUCGGCCGAAGUAUCGAGCGUAAUAAAGGAAAGCGUUCCUAUACGACUCAAAUGAAUCAUAUAAGAAGGAAUAAUCACAUUAGGGGUUUGACAUAACAUAUCCAUACCCUAGUAAUGUGAUUGAGAGUAUUGUUUUAGAGAAUGAUCGAAUUACAUUGUAAUUCCAACUGAAUAGGUUCUCCGAACAAAUUCUACAUUAACUUGGGUAGCCAUGAUAUAUGGUUAGAUGUCACUCAUGACUUGUGAGUUCUUCUAGAUGAUUAAAUGUAGUCGUCAAAAAAGAAGGAGAAUUAAAGUAUGUUUUAAUUCACUAAGUGAUUGGAUUAAAAAUAAUCAAUUGGAUUGGUGCCAAUCACCUCACUGCCUUGCUAAUUAGAACCUAAAAUGAUUGUUCACCAAUACACUCUUGUAGUGAGUAACUAAUGGAUGAUGGAAAUAAUUAAUUGGAUUAAUUAAGUGUUGUGAUUAAUUAGAAUGUCUAAAGAAAUCAUAAAAGCGAUAAAAGAUCGUUUUGGGCUUAAAGAAAAGUUCGGGUCUAAUUGGGCCCAUUGGGCCUAAACCCAUUGGGCUUUUAUUCAAGCAUAUGAUGACUUGAAAUAAUAAAAGUACAAAGCCCAAACAACACUAAAGGGGCCGGCCAAAGGAGGGAGAGAGAGAGUCAAAUGUUGACUUGUUUCUUUUUGGUUAUAAAAGGAACUUUAUAGCACAAAGUUUUAUUAGGGUUUUUGAAGUGUUAAAACAACAAAAGAGAAAAAGAAAAUAUCUCUCUCAACACUCAAAGGGCCGGCCACCAAAGGGGGGGUUUAGCUAAUCAUCUUCUCACCCUUUUGGUUAUUCCUUCAUCCUUCUCACUACUCUAGUGGGUGAGGAUCUUUAGAGGUCUUCAACUUUGGAGACUUAAGGAGAACCAAGGAGCACUCAUUCUAACAAAGUGGAGGAGGCAAGGAGGGAGGCUAGGCUCAAGGAGUUCCAACAACAAAGGGCUUGGAGGUGGUCCAUCCUUGGUCUAAAGUCUAGAUCAAGAGGUAUAAAACUACUCCUACACUUUGUUCUUCAAUAAAUUGUUUUUGAUGCAUCUUACAUAAACCUAUGCAUCUUGAAGGGGAUUUGCAUGACUAUAGCUUUGAUAUUAUUUGAUAACAUGCUUCCGUUGCUUUCGUAUAUAAAUUUUGAAUUGUAUAUGCAUGCUAGUCACUAGAAAUCCCACAUGAAAACUCAUUAUUUUCCCUUCAGUCUUGUCGUACAGGCCCCUUUUUAGUGGUUCCGACUUAUGUGCAGUGUAGUGCCAUAUAGGUCAUAGUAGUGACUCCGGCUAGAUUGACUAAUGAGCUAUGAAUUCAGCCGUACAGAUUUAUGCAGAGGUUCCGACUAAUAUGUUAUUUUAGUGGUUCUAACAUAUAUAAAUAAUUGUAGGACAUCUUAUGGUACUGUAUAAUUAGUACUCGUCCUACUGGACUGCACCUAAACUUUCUAUGCUCUGAUUAGGAGUAUUUACACUUAUAUCUCACUCUUAUUUCUUCUUGUUUAUUAGUACACAUUAGUAGCUUUCGAUUUUUGUUUAUUCGUAUAACUCUUAUCUUUAUCGCUUCCGCACUGUGCACAUGGCUACGUCACUCUCACAUGACGGCCAGCAUGCCUUGAUCUCGAUCGGGGUGUGUCAGGAACCCCUUCCAAAUUGGAAGAUUCUAAUCCAAAAAUUUUCCAAUCUCUCAUAGGUAAUUUUCGAUUCAACACAAAUAUGAUUUGUAUUGUGGUUUUGUUGAAUUAAAAUGGGUUUUUCUUUUAAUUAUUUUGUUGGGGUUUUUCAUAUUGUUCAUAUUUUGGGGCUUUCCAUAUUGACAUUUGUUUAUUUUUCGAUCUCUCACAUUUGUUCAUUGCUUCAGGAAACCAUGGAUUUCAAGUGGUUGUUGCUGGGCAUCAUUUCGGAAAUGCAAGUGUGAUGGCUCCUCGUUCACAACAAUAAUUCUAGAUCCUUGUUGCAAUGAUUUGUUUGUGCUUUUCUACAGCUAGAAGAUUCACUUAGGAAUUUUUUAAGGAAUUUUUUCUUAGGAAUCAACAAUAUUUUGAAUUGAAUCAUUUGGGACGUUUUAAACUGAAUCAACAAUGUUUUCUUAGGAUUUUUUUUUUGUUGUUGAAGAAAAAAAAAACCCAAACCAGGGCGAAACUGAACUGGAAAAAAACCGAAAAAAAAUUGAACCGAACCGAAAUUUCGGUUCGAUUUCGGUUUUGGCAAAAAACCAAACUGUUUCAAACUGAACCCAGCCCUAGAAGAAACAGGAAAAAUGGGUCAAAUAAAUAGGUUAUUUAUUUACUUUUUUUUUUACAAAUAAUUGAAUAAUUUACAUUCCACUAGGGAAGGGCGAAUGAUCAUUAUCAACUAAGGUUGUCACAUUUGUCCUUAAUUUAAUGUAUUUUAUCCUUUGGUACUGAGAAGCUACAAAAGUGCCCUUGGUAGGAUAAGUAGAAAUCCUACGUGGACAUUUGUAUCCUUGUCACUCUUUGUCCUUUUUCUCGCCUUACUGGAUACUACGUGACCUUAUGAACACGUAAGCACGAAUGAGACGUAAAUCGAACGUGCAACGACCAAUUUACUCACAUUUCCCCAGGGGCAAAAUGAUAAUUUUGCACUCUCAAACUUGUUUUUCGAGACAAUAGUGGCCUCUCAGUAUUCAAGCAUGCUGAAAAUGGUACCAGGUGGAAUAUUCUGUAAUUAAAAUUCAAUAUAUGCUUGACUAACUAGUUAGCGUCAUCAAUUAAUGAAGAUCAAAAUUGUUAGUUUACCAAAAGCAAGAAUAAUUAAUUAUACUUGGUUUACUGAAGAGGUCAUAGUUAACUAACGUCCAGUUCAAUAUACAUGUCAAUUUGCAAACCCUAGAGACCAUAAAUCACAUGCAAAGGAAUAAGGUGUUAGAGAUAUGCCUUGAAAAUCAAUCUUUGGAAGAAACCUUUCAGGACAAUGUCUGAAUGUAUGGUUAAGUCUAAUACAUCAAAAAGGGUAAAGUCAAUUAUUAGGACUAUCUCAAUGAACAAUAUACGUCCAAAUAGUGAGUCAAUGGACAAUGGAUCGAAGGAAUAAGUAAUCUAAAGAUGUUAGACUACAGAGACUUUUUUCACAUAACCAUAAUGUCCAAAAAAAUCCUGGUCAUAAGAGUGUCAGAAGGUCAUUGACAAUCCGGAUAGACCAGUACGUGCUAUGUCUGCUUCAAUUGGAAGGAUGACAAGUCUCAAGCCAUUCGUAUAGGGACACUAAGACACGUAUGUAGGUGCUCGUUAAGGGAAUGAGUCCACUUAACACAAUCAAACGAGAGUACAUGCAUGGAGGUCUACUCACAUGUCAAGCAAGUAACUCUACUGGUUGGAAUAAUGUAAGUAGUCCGUUGACCUGAGACAUUAUAGUUGUCUAGUGGUUAGGUCCUUGAUCUUUGACGGUGUCAAAGGCAUUCCAUUUGAGAGUAUUUGUUGGGGUUAAGCUGUCUAAUCAUGUACACAUGUGAAUGUUCAACAAGAAAUCUAUAAUCCUCAGUACGAGAGGAAAAAUACUUGAAGAUAUGAUUUCGGAAUCUUUGCCAGAAGUAUCGAGCAUAAUAAUGGAAGGCAUUCCUGUACGACUCAAUUGAAUCAUAUAACAUAGUUUAAUCACAUUAGGGGUUUGACAUAAAGUAUCCAUACCCUAGUAAUGUGAUUGAGAGAAUUGAUUUAGAGAAUGAUCGAGUUACAUUGUAAUUCCAACUGAAUAGGUUUUUCAACCAAAUUCUACAUUAGCUUGGGUAGCCAUGAUAUAUGGUUAGAUGUCACUCAUGGCUUGUGGGUCCUUCUAAAUGAUUAAAUAAGUAGUCAUCAAAGAAGAAGGAGAAUUAAAAAUAAGUUUUAAUUCACUAAGUGAUUGUAUAAGUACUAAUCAAUUGGAUUGAUACCAAUCACCUCACUGCCUCACUAAUUAGAAUCUAAAACGAUUGUACACCGAUACACUCGUGUGGUGUGAUAACUAAAGGAUGAUGGAAUUAAUUAAUUGGAUUAAUUAAAUGUUAUGAUUAAUUCGAAAGUCUAAAUAAAUCAUAGAAGCGAUGAAAGAUCAUUUCGGACUUAAAGAAAAGUUCGGGUUCAUUCGGGCCUAUUGGGCCUAAACCCAUUGGGCUUUUAUUCAAGGAUAGAGUGGCUUGAAAUGAUAAAAUCCCAAAGCCCAAAAAAAAAUCACUAAGAGGGCAGGCUGUUAGGGUGAAGAAAAGAAAAGGUAAAAGUCAAUUUGUUGACUCACUUGUCCCACCUCUAUGGAGGAGUUUGAGUGAAAAAGUAUUUUAAGGGCUUUUGUGUAUUCUUUUCACAUAUAGAGAAAACAAGUCUCUCUCUCUCUUUUUCUCUCUCUCCACACACACACACACAUAGCCUGCCACCAAGGGGAAAAAAAAAACUAAUUAUCUUUUCUCCUUUUGGUCAUCCACUCAUCCAUCUCACUACACUAGUGGGUGUGGAUCUUUAGAGGUCUUCUACACUUGGAGGCUUAAGAAGAACCAAGGAGCUCUAAAUCUUCGAGGUGGAGAAAGCAAGGAGGGAGGGUAGACUCAAGGAGUUCAAAGAAACAAAGAUCUUGGAGGUGGUCCAUCAUUCGUCUAAAGUCUAGAUUAUGAGGUAUAAAACUCAACCUUCACUUUGUUCUUCAAUAUUUUGUUUGAUGUAUCACUUAUGAACCUAUGCUUCUUGAAUGAGAUUUGCAUGACUAUAGCUUUGAUAAUAUGUGAUAAUAUGCUUCCGUUGCUUAUGCUUAUGUAUAUAAAUUUAGAACUAUAUAUGCAUGCUAAUCACUAGAAAUCCCAUAGAAAUCUCAAUAUUUCCCUUCAAAUGGUAUCAAGAGCCAAUGUUUUAUAUUUGAUGUGUCAUUUUGGAUUUUAUGCAUAUGGGUUUUGGUUUUGUUUUUAACAUACUAGUUCUUCAUUCUAGAUAUGUUUAUCUUUUGUUUUUAAAGAGUUGAAAAGUUAUGUAUGCAAAAAGUGUUUUGGAUACAUGAAUGAAGAGUGAGUUUUGAACAAAAAUCUGGGGCUUUUCUACUAUAGGGGAGGGUACGGUUUUGGGGGUGUUUUUGGGCUUGUAUUUGUGUUUCUUUUGAGUCACACACACACACACACACACACACACACACACACACACACACACACUCUUUUAAACUAGAAAGCCAAGGUCACUUUUGUUUUUGGUUUGAAAAACCACCAUGAAAGUGCAAAUCUUGAAAUUGUUUUCAUGGUUUUGUUCUUGGUGUUCAUCCUUUGCUUUUGUAUUUGGGUAUUAAACUUUGUUUCAAGAACUUUCCUUGAUUUCCUCCAUCCUAGACUAGACUAGGACACCAUACCCAAACCAUACCUUUAAGGUCAACAAGUACAAAAGGUAACAAGGAAAAGUAUGGGCUCUUAUUUUCUUUUAAAGGCUUUUUAGCCAAAAUGGUCAUUGAUAUUUGCACAACUCCUCACUUUGGUCCCUGAGAUUUGAAAUCAAUAGAAUUGGUCAUUGAUUUUGUCCACAAUCAAUCAUUUUAGUCCUUGGAUAAAAAAUUAUGUUAAAUAAGGAUCAAAAUGAUAAAAUUAACCUCAAUUUAAUAAACAAUAGGCCAAAAUGAUUUGACAAAAAUUGAGGAUAUUUUUUUCAUUUUACCCUUAUUUUAUGGAGAUUUUUCAUGGAAGGCCCAAACAAUUGAUUGUGCACAAACUUAGGGACCAAUUCUAUUGAUUUCAAAUCUUAGGGACCAACGUGAGCAGUUAUGUGAAUCUCAUGGAUCAUUUUGGCUAAAAAGCCUCUUUUGAAAUAAUGGGAAAAGUUUGACCUUCUCCCUCUCCCCAUCACCAUAAUCGGCCAUACCUAUUGAUGAGACCUUUGUGGGCUCUUUUGCAAUUUUAAAAAGUUGAUUAUAAACAAAUCCCUUGGUGGAUAAGUUCGACGACUCAGCAAGAGUGUGGAAUUGAGUCUCUCGUUUGGUGGAUCUAAUCUACUUUCUAAUAUUUGCGGUUUCACCCAUAACUUUUUAUAUAUUUGCAUUUUGGCCCCACCUCACUAGAGGACAAAAAUGUAUUGAUAUUUUAUUUUUGUUUGUAGUUUAAACUCAUUAUAAAAUUAUUCCCAUGUGUACUAAAUCUAAUUGUUAUGUUGCAUUCCAAUUUAAUUAUCUAAUGUGAUUAAGUAGUUAGAAAAAUGUUUGGCUAUGGACUUGUGCCUUAAACAAAAAAAUUGAACUAUGUGAUAGGCCGUUAAAUUCAAAUGGUUUGAACCUUGGGAAAGUGUUUUAAUUACCAAUUCAAUUGGACCACAACACGUUAGACUUUAAUUUUUCUCUCCCCCUUAGUAUAUGGUAAUUUGUAGGAAUAUGUACAAAUCGGUUUGUGAUUCUUAUUACUUCUCUAUUAGUUGAAUCCCUCUAGUGCUAGACUACAGUUUCUUUAACUAAUGGUAAGGAGACAUUAAAAGGGGUUUUAAUGAGACUAAGAAAUGUUGGGUCCAAUGCCCUAAUUAGCAAUGAAUGAUUGUCUUUCGUUUCUGAUGGCUCAAUGAAAAAUAUUUUAAUUGGAUUGAAAGCGCAUAAUUAAAACGACACUACCUUCCCUAGAUCUUAUUCAACAAUGUUGACUCAUUGUUGAAUUAACCUUAUAAGUCCAUAGUCAUCCAAAGAGUCUAAGAUAACUAUAAAGUCCAAAUUCAGAAGGAAUGCAAAACUUCUCUUAGUAGUAUAUAUACUUCAAAUAGGAAUGAUGAGGGUUCGAGAAAAUCUUAGGGUUUCUUCAUCUUCCUCUUCUUAAAUUUGGCCACUUACAUCAUGGGUGAUCAUCUUCCUGUAAUUCCUUGAUCGUUUCUAGCCAAUUUGAAUUCAUCUCCUUUGAAGUCAUCCUAUGCAUCUCGAGUUUCUACGGUUUCACCACAACCUAAGAUUGAUACUUUGUUGGUGCCUACAAUAAAGGGUGGUUUAGUAUCUAUUCAGAUUUCGAAAGAUUCCUAUCAGAGGAGUCUUGACAAGUGCACGCAUAAUCUUGUGGGUAAAGUCUUGCUGCAAAAAGGAAAAUAAGCCAUGGCCUACUUAGGACAUGGUUAUUCGUUUAAAGAAGUUAUGGCCUUCCUUGCAAUCCUGGUGGUCCAUCCCUAUGGUGAAGGCUUUUUAUGUUUUCCAAUUUGCAACCCCAGAAGAUAUGCAACACGUUUAGGUAGGUGGUGUUAUUUCUCUUCAACCUGGCAACUUGAGGUUUUACCAAUGGACCCCUAAUUUUUCCCCAAACAAUUUCAAAAACACUACUGCACAAUUAUGGGUGUGGUUUUGGGAUCUGGGUCUUGAAUAUUGGGACCCCACAACCUUAUUUGAAAUUGCAUCACAAAUAGGUACUCCAAUUAAGAUUGAUCCCGCGACUUUGAACAAGAGCAUUGGGCUGUAUGCUCGAGUUUUAAUUGAUGUGGAUCUUUCAAUUAAUCCACCUUUUAAGAUUUUAGUGGAGCAUGCUCAUGGUGAUUCUUUGUUGGUGAGUCUUGAAUUUGAAAAGUUCUCAUCUAUUUGUUCUAGCUAUGGCAAUAUUGGACAUCACAUCCAGAAUUGUAGAGUUAAACAAGGGGAAAACUCUCCAUCACAGGGGCGUAGUAGUAGAUCAAGGUCUCGCCAUUGACAUAAGCGUGAAAGAGUAGUAAGUAAGUAUGUCCCAAAGGAUGCUGGUAAAAAGGUAGUUAUUGAGCCAACUCAACCAAAUUUACCCGAUGACAGAGAAAGUCCUUCUUUUGUGAAGCAGACUACCUCUGAUAUUCCUACAGUCCCUGUUAUAACUCAUUUAGAGUCUGAUCAUUCUAUGCUUGAGAGUGUUGAUCCCAUAAGUUUCCCGACUAUGGUUGUUGUUCCUGUUCAGUCUGAUUUGAACAAUUUUGCAUUAGUAGCUAAUGUCAGUAAUAUGAGUUUAACUACUGAGGUGACUCCAGUUGUCGAUGUGAGUACUCCGAUAUUAGACCAUGUUGUGAAUAAUGCGACAUUGGUUACGAAUGUCAAUUUUUUUUUUUACAUCGGGGUGCAAAUAAUAUGACUCUAGUUGCAAAUCCAUUAGCUAAUGAGGUUGAUGUUAUGGUUGCUCACACAUAAGAUCUAAUGAUGAUGAUGGCUUUACCCCAGUUGUCUCUAAAAGAAAGAAAAAACAAUAUGGUCUUAUACGUAAUGAGCCUCAUGGCACCAGGGCCUUUAUGGCUAAAACUAAGCCUUCUUUAUGAAGUUACUAUAUUGGAAUGCCUGCGGGGUAGCAAAUGCUUCCACUUGUCGGGUUAUUACGCGAAUGGUUCAUUCUCACCAUCCUUUUAUGCUUUGUUUAUUAGAGCCCUUUGUCUCUUUAUCUUCCAUUAAGCCUUCCAUGUGGAGAGCUUUGAGAUUGUUUCCUGUGCCUACCAAUGAUCGUGGAUCUCAAGAACCUAAUCUUUGGUUACUUUGUCAUGUUGAUGUCACUCCAACUGUGCUUUCCGUAACUACUCAACAACUUACAGUUUCUUGUAUCUUGGAUUCAGUAUCUUGUACAAUUGCUUAUGUUUAUGCUAAAACAACGGUGGUUGCACGACAUCAGUUGUGGUAUGAUCUUGCUUAUGUGAAGUCUUUCUUUGUUAACGGUCCAUGGGUUAUCAUUGGUGAUUUCAACUGUGUUUUGGGUGCUUAUGAGAAGCGCGGGAGUGUACUGCCUAAUGCUAACUCAUGUUCUGAAUUUCAGAUGAUGUCUUCGGUUUGUGAAUUGGUCCACCUUCCUACAAAAGGGAUAUCAUACACUAGGGGUUGUGGGGUUCACAGGCAAGUUGAGAUGCGUUUAGAUCGGUGCCUAUGCAAUUUUUCUUAGAUCGAGACGUGGUCUAUUUCAGAAGUUUCUACUCUCACUCGCUUAUGUUCAUAUCAUUGUCCUUUAUUAUUGUCUUUUUCAAAGGCGGAGGUGGUUGCUCGGUCCCCAUUUCGUUUUCAAAGAGCUUGGUUCGAGCAUCCUGAUUUUAUGGCAUUUGUAUCCACUAUUUGGCAUGACUCCAACUUUUUGGGUUGUCCAAUAUUUGUGUUAUCCGCUAAGCUUCGCAACUUGAAACAAAAUUUGAAAACUUGGAACCGGUCAUGUUUUGGUAAUAUUCAUGUGAAUGUGGAUUCUGCCAUGAGUGAUCUUGAUCUUAUUCAAAAUGAAAUUGAUACUUUGGGCCCUACAGAUGAUAGAUUGUCCAAGGAAGAGGAAUUGCGUUUAAACGCCCAUGAUG
This 22367-nucleotide long non-coding RNA is filed under the name Malus domestica (apple). Its description in RNAcentral is "long non-coding RNA (MDOM_LNC013560)". Lineage: Eukaryota; Viridiplantae; Streptophyta; Magnoliopsida; Rosales; Rosaceae. The record is from RNAcentral.